GGGGAUUUGGCUCAGUGGUAGAGCGCUUGCCUAGGAAGCGCAAGGCCCUGGGUUCGGUCCCCAGCUCCCCCC
This 72-nucleotide transfer RNA is filed under the name Rattus norvegicus (Norway rat). It matches the Rfam family "tRNA". From Rfam's summary of the family: Transfer RNA (tRNA) molecules are approximately 80 nucleotides in length. Their secondary structure includes four short double-helical elements and three loops (D, anti-codon, and T loops). Lineage: Eukaryota; Metazoa; Chordata; Mammalia; Rodentia; Muridae. The record is from Rfam by way of RNAcentral.